Amylocarpus encephaloides is the source of this 104-nucleotide non-coding RNA. Lineage: Eukaryota; Fungi; Ascomycota; Leotiomycetes; Helotiales. The record is from the annotation of a GenBank genome assembly.
GUCAAGUUGCCAGAGUGGUUAAUGGGUAUGACUCGAACGCUCUGUAGUGAGCAAUAAGAUAUCAUAUGGUUUCGGCCGCGUAGGUUCAAAUCCUGCACUUGACG